Molecule: ribosomal RNA, 253 nt
Filed under: uncultured bacterium
Lineage: Bacteria
Description: partial 16S ribosomal RNA
Rfam family: Bacterial small subunit ribosomal RNA
Source: RNAcentral
UACAGAGGGGGCAAGCGUUGUUCGGAAUUACUGGGCGUAAAGGGCGCGUAGGCGCCUCUAAGUCGAACGUGAAAUCCCCGGGCUCAACCCGGGAACUGCGUCCGAUACUGGAAGGCUUGAAUCCGGGAGAGGGAUGCGGAAUUCCAGGUGUAGCGGUGAAAUGCGUAGAUAUCUGGAGGAACACCGGUGGCGAAGGCGGCAAUCCUGGACCGGCAUUGACGCUGAGGCGCGAAAGCCAGGGGAGCAAAGCGGG